This 1338-nucleotide long non-coding RNA is filed under the name Daphnia magna. RNAcentral describes it as "uncharacterized LOC123474122, transcript variant X2". The record is from RNAcentral. Lineage: Eukaryota; Metazoa; Arthropoda; Branchiopoda; Diplostraca; Daphniidae.
CCUGGCAACAGCCAAUAAGAGGAAAGGGUUACGACUGCACUUUCUGGCGCUCGACAAUGCUAUCUCGUUGAAGACCCAAUUGGCGUCUGCUAAAAUGAAAACUAUCUGAGCGUUGAGUGAAGGGCUGAAGGCUGCAAGAGGGCAACGACACGCCGUGUGUUUCGGCUUGUUUCGACGGAUUGUUAUAACCAGGUUUUUUAAAAAAUUGUAAUUGAAAAAAGUUAAGAAAUCAGUCCUGAGUUUAAUAAUUCAUUCAGUUGUGCAUAUGUACCUCAACGGAAAGCCAUACGCUUUUUAAAAAAAGAACAACACAAUUUGAAGGAAAGAUGAAACAUGGAGUCAUUUCAUGGUCUUGCCACUUCACAUACAAAAGUGCUGUAUGUCUCAAUGUGGGAAAGAAGGAAUCCAAACAGUCCCUUCAGCAAGAAAGUCGACUUUGAAAUCUGUGAAAGAAUUUCCUUUACAAAAAAGUACACUGUCCAGAGCCGGGAAACAUACUCAUCUGUUGGGUACAAAAGUUCACCAGGGUCUAGAACAAACAGUUACAGUAGGUAGUAGGAGUUAGACAUUAUUACAAUUUUGUUAUUGAUAGAUUACCUAGGCGAUAAAUCAACUGCAUCAGUGAGUCAAAACUUUUUGUCCUCUGGAAUCUAGCGAUACAGUCAACGCAAAAUUUCUGCUCCACCAGAACGCGUAUAGUGUAUCCAGCUAGAAAGGCCGCAGUGCUUGAUUGUGAUGAUGGCUGUAACUUUUCUGUAAAAAAAAAAUUAUUCUUUGGACAAGAAACAGCGUUUUUUCCAUCAGAUGCUGUACAUGAAGGUUUUUUUAAUUGCUCGAGUAUCCGAAAAAAUAAAGCUGAUUCGCGUGACAAGAUUGUAUUGCCGUAAAUGGAUUUGUAGGCUAUGCCUGUACGAAGGAUCUUCUCAAAUGCCUGUGAAACUGCCGUUGCGUACCCCUUAAAGUUUCCUCCAAUCAUCUGGUGAAUGGCACCAAUCAACUGCUCUACAGGAUCACUGGAGAAUCUCCUUAACCCCAUUCUACAACGAGACCAGCUUCGUCGUCCUGUGGCCAAUUGGAUAUAUCUACCCAGUCAUCAUGUCGUUCAACGCGCUGGCGUUGCUGAAUCAAAGCUGUUCGUCUACUCGAUGAGUUUGCAGCGAUUACAAUCGACACUUUCGUUGUUGGGGCAGUAGUUAGAGUCGGCAGAAUCUUUGCUGGAGUUGCUGGAUUAGUCCCUAAAUUUAUGAAGGAGGUAGUCGCAAUGGAAAUCAGUGGAUUUAUGGGUGGGAUUAGAUUAUUCCUGAAACCAUCGUUUGAAUCAUCUGAUUCGUAUCUGGA